Molecule: ribosomal RNA, 466 nt
Filed under: uncultured bacterium
Lineage: Bacteria
Description: partial 16S ribosomal RNA
Rfam family: Bacterial small subunit ribosomal RNA
Source: RNAcentral
CGAACGCUGGCGGCGUGCUUAACACAUGCAAAUCGAACGGAAAGGCCCUGCUUUUGUGGGGUGCUCGAGUGGCGAACGGGUGAGUAACACGUGAGUAACCUGCCCUUGACUUUGGGAUAACUUCAGGAAACUGGGGCUAAUACCGGAUAGGAGCUCCUGCUGCAUGGUGGGGGUUGGAAAGUUUCGGCGGUUGGGGAUGGACUCGCGGCUUAUCAGCUUGUUGGUGGGGUAGUGGCUUACCAAGGCUUUGACGGGUAGCCGGCCUGAGAGGGUGACCGGCCACAUUGGGACUGAGAUACGGCCCAAACUCCUACGGGAGGCAGCAGUGGGGAAUAUUGCACAAUGGGCGGAAGCCUGAUGCAGCAACGCCGCGUGCGGGAUGACGGCCUUCGGGUUGUAAACCGCUUUCGCCUGUGACGAAGCGUGAGUGACGGUAAUGGGUAAAGAAGCACCGGCUAACUACGUG